RNAcentral lists this ribosomal RNA (253 nucleotides) under uncultured bacterium. Its description in RNAcentral is "partial 16S ribosomal RNA". It matches the Rfam family "Bacterial small subunit ribosomal RNA", at positions 524 to 776 of the family's 1533-position model. The record is from RNAcentral.
UACGGAGGGGGCGAGUGUUGUUCGGAAUUACUGGGCGUAAAGGGCGCGCAGGCGGCUUGGCAAGUCGAGUGUGAAAGCCCUCGGCUUAACUGAGGAAUGGCGCUCGAAACUACCUCGCUAGAGGACGGGAGAGGGAAGUGGAACUCUCGGUGUAGGGGUGAAAUCUGUAGAUAUCGAGAGGAACACCGGUGGCGAAGGCGGCUUCCUGGCCCGUAACUGACGCUGAGGCGCGAAAGCGUGGGGAGCAAACAGG